GUAGGGAAUCUUGCACAAUGGGCGAAAGCCUGAUGCAGCAACGCCGCGUGAAGGAUGAAGGCCUUCGGGUUGUAAACUUCUGUUCUUAGGGAAGAAGAAAGUGACGGUACCUAAGGAGAAAGCCCCGGCUAACUACGUGCCAGCAGCCGCGGUAAUACGUAGGGGGCAAGCGUUAUCCGGAAUUAUUGGGCGUAAAGGGAGCGUAGACGGCUCUGCAAGUCUGGAGUGAAAACCCGGGGCUCAACCCUGGGACUGCUUUGGAAACUGUGGAGCUUGAGUACCGGAGGGGUAAGCGGAAUUCCUAGUGUAGCGGUGAAAUGCGUAGAUAUUAGGAGGAACACCAGUGGCGAAGGCGGCUUACUGGACGGUAACUGACGUUGAGGCUCGAAAGCGUGGGGAGCAAACAGGAUUAGAUACCCUAGUAGUCC
RNAcentral lists this ribosomal RNA (428 nucleotides) under uncultured bacterium. RNAcentral's name for it is "bacterial SSU rRNA". It matches the Rfam family "Bacterial small subunit ribosomal RNA", at positions 354 to 796 of the family's 1533-position model. The record is from RNAcentral.